UGGCAAUGUUGUGCAGUCAGAUGACCCGGUU
Molecule: non-coding RNA, 31 nt
Filed under: Mus musculus (house mouse)
Lineage: Eukaryota; Metazoa; Chordata; Mammalia; Rodentia; Muridae
Source: RNAcentral